RNAcentral lists this long non-coding RNA (24922 nucleotides) under Populus tremula. RNAcentral's name for it is "long non-coding RNA (PTRE_LNC002892)". Lineage: Eukaryota; Viridiplantae; Streptophyta; Magnoliopsida; Malpighiales; Salicaceae. The record is from RNAcentral.
GACCACUAAACUUGUUGUUGGCCAAAGUGAGAUAAAGGACAGGUGUGGAACCGAGAUUACCAGGAAGCCGUUGUGAGAAUUUGUUGUUGUUGAUGAAAAGCACAUCUAGGUCUAAGGUGAAGACUUUAGCUGGAACUGACCCUGAAAAUGAGUUGAACCUGAUGUCUAAAAAGGUUAAGUUGAUGGCUUGGAGAACAGACACAGGGAAUUCACCAGAGUACUUGUUGUUGCUGAGAUCGAGCUCAAAUAAGUAACGGACUCUGGAAGUGCUAAUAUUCAUUGGCACAGGACCAGUGAAAUUGUUGGAGUUCGCAUGAAAGAUGGAUAAGUCCAGCAACUUAUCGAGGAAACCUGUGAGCUGAAGAUCCGGGCCACCAAAAUGGUAGCCGUUGAAAUCUGCCGCUGCAAGGGCUGUCACCUUCUGGUCAGGUACAGUUGCACAUUUAAAGCCUGGAUAACUACAGACAUCAUUUCCCACCCAUUUUUUUUUAAUGUUCAUGGGAUCAUAAGUAAUCAAUUCCUUGAAUGUCUGAAUUAUGUGAAAGUCUCUUUCGAUGUUUUUGCUCACAAAACCAUUACUUGGCGGCGGAGGCCGAGGAGAAGGAGGAGGCGGAGGGGAUGGCCUUGGAGGAGGGGGCGGCGAGGGCGGGGGUGGCGGAGAGGGGGGAGGGGGCGGCGGAGGGGGAAAACGUUUGGGAGGUGGCGGCGAGGGCGGGGUGGCGGCGGGGGGAGAGGGCGGGGGGGGGAGAGGGGGAGGGGGCGGCGAGGGGGAGGGGGCGGAGGGGGCGGCGGGGUGGAGGUGGGGGAGGGGCGGCGAGGGCGGAGGGGGGGAGAGGGGGAGGGGGAGGCGGGGGACAAAGGGGUUCGGGAGGGGCGGGGGAGGACAAAUUUCAUUCUCAGGAGAAGGGGCAGGAGAAUAUCCAUCCCCACCCCCACCUAUGAUUAUUUCUAAAGCUUCCCUCUCUGUCCCAACAGCCGCAUUGUAAUGCAAGCAUGAAUGAAAAAUGAGAGUGAAAAGUAGAAUUGAAGAACACAAAGAAGCGGUACCCAUCUAUACUGGCUGAAGGGUCUCUGGACUUGAGAGAGUAAAGAGAACAGGGACAUAUAUAUAUUACUAUGAAGAGGGUAGAGGUAGACCAUAAGUAAAGGAAGUCAAGAUUCACGAGCAUACAAAAGUUUGCAAAAGAAAAGUUGUCUUAGGGUGGGACUGUUGGGAUCUCAUUUUCAGACACUCCAUCCCUGCGAAUCAAACCUUUCUUUUGGGACAUGGUGGCAGCUAUUCUAUAGUAACAUGGUUCGAAGUGUCUUUAUAGUGCGCCAUCCCUCGUGGGACAUGAAUAUCACGGAAAGAGCGGAAAAUAAAAGGAAAUCAUCUGAAUUUCCAAGGACUUCAGUAAGAAAUUCUUGGUUUUAUUUGCUGCUGAGGAUGAAGGUGUAGGGACAUUAAAUUAAACUUUUAACUCAAUAAUUGGAUCUUGACAUUAGUGGGGACAACAUCUUCUUCAGUUAUUGGACUUCAUCUGUCAUGUAUGAGAGUUUUAUCUUGUGACUAUUCUUGAUAAAUUUGACUUUUCUUCACUUGUUUUCGACCAUAGGUUCUUAAGAUACUCGUCGGAAUAUAGAUAGCCUGUCGAAUUGUGCGCUCUAAUGAAAGAUCUUGAGCUAAGGAUACCAUUUGCACAUGGGUUCAAUGGACAGCCACCACCCGCAACCACCAACACGUCAAACAUCACAAAACCUGUGAAUUUUAAAAAGUUGCCCCAUUGAUGUAACAUAAAUUUAGGAUGUGAAGUUCGAUGGAUCAUCGGUGUGUCUCUUACCCUGCUUCUCAAUUGUUGAGAUUCGUCUCAUUGCAUUUUUAAACUCUUCAAUCAUAGAGCUGAGAAUGAACUUGAAAAAAGCAAAUGAAUGCUUCCCUUCUGUUUCCUACUCGGUAUCUUUCAUUUUGGCGCUUGACAUCCCCCCCUUCUCACAAUCAGAAUCUUUGCAUGCUUCCCUUGUGUUUCCUACUCGAGAAUAAGAAAGAAUAUGGAAUGGCAUAUUGAUGAUUAAUAUUCUCUCAAGAAGAUACCGUCCUCGAUCUAAACUUAAACAAGCGAAAGAAAACAGCGUAAGAAUUUCAGGGAAAGAUGUCUUAAAACAAAAGCGAAAAAAGUGACUGUAUAAUAUGAAGUUAGCAGCCAUACAAUGAUCAAAAACCAUUCAACUGGGCCAGUUGUCAGCGGCUGAGGUGCACUAGAAUUUGAUCCUAAAUUCAGAUCCUUGAGAAAAAACAAUGCAAUGUUCAUGAUUCUGUGCUCAAACAAGCCUUUGAUUGAACAACAACAAGGGCCUUCGCUGUUCAGAGAACCAUCUCAAUUGUGUACAGUGCCAAGUGAAUCCGAACCCAUAUACACAUGCAGAGGGCAGACAUUAUUUUCUCCACACUACCGGUUCAAAUUAACCUCAAGUCCACCAAGAUAUGGAUUCUAACAAUCCCCGGUUCUUAAAGGCCCAAAAUUUAUUCGAAACUUACCUACUCAUUUCGUGGAGCUCUACACAUUCUAAAUUUUUCUAAGCACGUGAAUUUCUGAUUUCAAAGGUCCAACAAACGUCAAUGGAGCCUUACCAGACAAUCAUGCAAUAGGAGAACCUGUACAAUUUCCUAGUCUUAGGAAACAUAAAGUCGGAUGCAAAACAGCACACGUUACCCUUUCCCGAGUUAAUAGCCCGAUCAACCAGAACCACGACAAUCUUAACACGCUUGUUCACCACAAAUCCAAAUGGACCGACGUCUGCUCACACAUAAACUAGUCAACCAAGAAAAAGGAAAAUUAGUGGACAUGAGAGUUAAACUUGAAGCAUAUAUUAUGCAGUUUAAGAAAAAAGACAACCAACCUCAAAGAAGACAAGAACAGCACAAGAAAAUUUAGAAUCAAGACUUUUCUUCUGUUACAACAAGUCUUUUAUGAGAUUAAAAAAAUCAGAGAAGGCAAUAAUUCAUGAAAAAAAGAGCAAACUAGAAUAUAAUACACUCAGUUUCAAUGACUUUUCUAUAUUUUCUUGCUACAGUGAUUUGGGGAAGGGUGGGUGGGUGCGGGUUUUCUCACAUGCUUUGAUGCCAAGUUUGAUUGCCAAAUAGUCUCAAUCAGAGAAAAUCAAGUCUUCAUCAUGUUUUCAGUAACUGUGCCCCAGUUUUCUACGAGAAUUUGUAUAUAUUUAAACGAAAGAGAGCAUGUUUCAUAAAAGCAACCUUUUUACAUAUUUUAAGUUUGACAUGUUUACCAGGAACAUGCUUGGAAACCAGGUCAUUUUUCUCUGUUUUAUUUCAUAGGGUACAUUAUAUACAAUCUCAAACCACAGCCUAGACAAGGAGAGCAAGAACAAGAAUUUUCCCAGGAAAAAUAAACCCAAAACCUAUUAACCAACUGACAAAUUAUUGUUCUAUUUAUUUGUGCAUCCCGACUUUCCAACCAUCAUCAGAUCACUAAUCAUCAACCGGAAAUCUGUCUUACCAGACCACAUGGAUUCAAUGCCAUACCAGCUUCAUAUACUAUUUUUCCCAUAUAUGGCUCAUGGCCACAUGAUCCCGACAGUAGACAUGGCAAGAUUAUUGGCUAGGCAUGGAGUGAAAGCAACCAUUGUUUCCACUCCUCUUAAUGCACCCCUCUGCUCUAAAACUAUUGAAAGAGAUAGACAACUGGGUCUUGAUAUCAGUAUUCACAUUAUAAAAUUCCCUUCUGCAGAAGCUGGGCUGCCAGAAGGAUGUGAGAACCUAAGUUCUAUUCCCUCGCCUGACAUGCUUCCGAAUUUCUUAAAGGCCAUCGGCAUGCUUCAGCAACCACUUGAACAGCUCCUAGAAGAAUGCCAUCCCAGUUGUCUUGUGGCAGACAUGUUGUUUCCAUGGGCUACAGAAGCUGCACACAAGCUCAGGAUUCCAAGGUUGUUUUUCAAUGGAACAGGUUUUUUUCCUGUGUUCUUCGAUUCCCUAAAACGCUAUGAAACUCCCAAAGGAGUAGAUUCAGAUUUCGAACCAUUCGUGGUGCCUGGUUUACCAGAUCAGAUAGCUGACAAGAUUACGACUGCCGGCUUUCAUUAAAGAGAGAACUGAGAAUGAACUUACAAAGCUGAUGGAUAAAGUCUCAGAAUCAAUGGUGAGAAGCUAUGGAGUCCUCACGAACAGUUUCCUUGAGCUGGAACCAGCUUAUUCAGAGCACUACAAGAUGGAAAUAAAAAGGAAAACAUGGCACAUCGGGCCGCUGUCCCUUUGCAACAGGGACAUGAAAGAUAAGGCAGAGAGAGGCAACGUGUCCUCCUUUGAUGAACAUUAAUGUAUGAGAUGGCUGGCCAAAAAGAGCCUCAACUCAGUUCUAUAUAUAUGUUUUGGAAGCUUCUUCAACCUUUCCGCUGCUCAUUUACUUGAGAUUGCCAUGGCCCUGGAAGCUUCUGGACAGAAUUUCAUUCGGGUUGUGAGAGAGAGAAAGCAAACAAAGCUUGCAGAAAAGGAGGAGUGGUUGCCAGAAGGAUUUGAGAAAAGGAUGGAAGGGAAGGGCUUAAUAGUAUCGGGAUGGGCACCGCAAGUGGUGAUCCUUGAUCAUAAAGCUGUUGGAGGGUUCAUGACUCACUGUGGUUGGAACUCAACAUUGGAGGGAGUGACUGCAGGGGUGCCGAUGGUCACAUGGCCACUUGGUGCGGAACAAUUUUGCAAUAAAAAGCUGAUUACCGAUGUUCUCAAAAUAGGAAUUGGAGUUGGUGCCCAGGAAUGGUCAAGAUAUGAAAAGAAAAUUAUAGUGAGGAAGGAGGACAUAGAGAAGGCAAUUAUUCAGUUGAUGGUUGGUGAAGAAGCUGAGGAAAUAAGAAACAGAGCAAGGGUACUGAAAGAGAUGGCAAGGAGGGCUACGAAAGAAGGAGGAUCAUCUUACUCUGAUUUAACUGCAUUUCUUGAAGAAUUAUAGGCCCUUGAGACAAGCAAGCAAGAACGUGCACCACAUUAACAAGACUGUCUUGUUGCAUCAUUCUGAAAACUAGAAGAGUGUGAAGAAAAAGGAAAAAAAAAGGUAUCCCGUAGAAUGCUAAAUGUUGCUUCUCAGAUAUUUAGUUUUUCAACAAAAUAAAAGAAAGAGCGUUCUACAUGAAUUUUGCAUCCAUACAACAGUCAUACAUAUCCGUGGUUUCAAUGACAUGAUAGCUUUAUUGAUGACUCCAAUGGAUACAAAGUCUAAAAGUCUAAACAAACUACUUGAUUUGAAAUGUGCUAGCUUGUUUUCUGUUCAAAACGAAAACCAUACACUUUGAUUCCAUUCUAACAUUAAUUCAUGAAAUCUCUUAAAGGGUUAUGGCUCUAAACCCAGUUGAUCGUAAAUCACAGCUGGACUUGUCUACUUAAGGAGGAAGUCCUAUGGGAAUCUCUGAAAAUGUUAAACAUGAUAAAGCUAGCAGAAGCACUCACCUUAACCAGCUAAUUAAAGAUCCUGGCUGACCACAAGCUGCAACUCGGGAAGUACUCAUCCAAGUAUGAUGAAAACUUGGAUAUAUAAUCUUUACGCAUACAUAAUUAAAGAAAACCCGAAGAAUUUUAUUUUAUUUUAUUAGAAAAUAACUCGCAGCACAAGUUUCCAACACCUCAGUCCGUGAAUAACAAGAUUUGCAAGCAAAGAAUAAGGAGUUUUAAUAAAGGAUAGAAGUUCUCCAAAGUAGAUAUCAUCCUCGAUCUAGAAUGCAAGAAGCAAAGAAGAACGGCGUAGGAAUGCCAGAAAUGAUGAAAGGAGGGGACCCUUAUUGAAGGUUUCAACCAUAUAAUGAUCAUGAGCCACUGGACUGGGCCAGCGGUGAGGAUUGGGGUGAACUCGAAUAUGAUCCAAAGUUCAAAUUCUAAGAGAAAAAACCAUACAAUGACAGUAGAUUAAGCGGGCAAAAGGAUUUAAUCGAGCAAAAUUUUGAUUGAACAAUAAAAAGGUUAAGGGCAUCGGAUCUUCAGACAAUCAGCCCAGUUGACAGUAGUGCUAAGUAGGUCUGAACCCAAAUACACAAUUCAGCAGCUAGACAUUAGUUUCUUGAAACUGGUGGUUCAAGUUGACUUGAAAUUCAUGCUAAAAAAUAAGGAUUCCACCCCAACUUCGGUACAAACAUAAAAAGCCCAAAUUUUCACCGAACUUCUAUAAGCUGAGAAUUUCAGAAGUGAAAGGUCCAACGUUGGACCUUCAGCAAUUGAAACCGAGAACCCACAAUCAUAAGAAAGGAAAGAUUAUAAUUUUCGUUGUCCGGCCACAAAGUUAGAUACAAAACAGCACACAUGACCCAUCUAAGAACCCCUUCGGUCAUGACCAUGACAAUGCAACCUAAAAAAUCUUAUUUCACUUUAAAGCACAAAUCCAAAUGCACCAACAUGAGUUCAUAUAUAAAAGUUGUCAACCAAGUAAAAAAAAUUGAACAUGAAGUCAGACUUGAAACAUAAACAAUGCAGUAUAAGAAGACUGGCGACCAAGACAACCCCAAAGAAAAAAUAAGAUCAAUAAGAAAAUUUCAGUUUUAAAAAAUAAAAAUAGAGAUCAAUAAGAAAUUUCACAGACGAGUUCUACUGGGAUGUCAGAAGGAAAUAAAGAAUAAAUUCAUGGAAAAAGAGAGAGAGAGAGCAUAUUGCGACAUGAUAUACUGUGAUUGUCAGCAAUUGGAUGCCUCGUGGGCACAAAGAAAAUUUAGUCUUUAAAUUGUUUCUUUAAUAGGAGGGGUUAGCAACUCUAACCCAGUUUUCUUAGAGAAACUGCUAAAUGUGUAAAUAAAAGAAAUCAUUUUUCAUGAAACAAUCAUUUUAUAUAUUUUAUGUUUCAUAAAGGUUAGCAGGACACAACAAUAUGCUUGGAAACCAAGUCAUCUUUGUCUAUUUCUCUUCUUAAGGUCCAAUACAUAUCUGAACUCAUAAACAAGAUGAUGAGGGGAAAGCAAGAAUUGGAAUAUGAUAUGGGAAAAUAAUGCCCGAACCUAGUCUCUGCAGCCAUCCCAAAUCAGCGGAUAAAUCAUUGUUCUAUUUCUAGCCUUUUGUUCUGUCACGACCCGAAUCCCAGAUCCGUGACCGGCAACGUAGGAGCGGUGUCGAAAGGACACCUCACCUACGCUAAGCCUCAUAACGGACAUAUCAAAAGAACAAUUUGUUCAAAAAUACGCAGCGGCUCAUAAUAUUCAGAAAUAUUAUAUUAUUCAAAUACUGAUGAAACCGAAAGAUAGUUAUUAAAACAAAAAUAAUAAUUCAUAAUACUAUUUACAUUGCCAAAAUCCAAACUUAAUUAAAACAAGGUAACAGUGGAGCGUCUAAGACAUCAAAUCAAAACUGAAAGGAAAGCCUCGCGAACAAGCUAUUAAGGAAGAUUCCAUCAAACCUGCAGAUGCAUGAAAUCUGCAAGUGAUUUCAGUAACAGCAUGGAGGAAAUCUGUUAAUGAUCCACAGCAAUAACCAAGCCUCAAAUCAUGCUGUGAAUUAAUACAAAUAUUAUGUCCAUAACUAUUUUGAUUACUGCAAUCUUUCCUUUACAAGAAUAUUCAUUACUGUAAUCUUUCCUUUACAAGAACAUGUAACCGCAGUAUAUAAUCAUAGGCUGAACAUCAAUACAAUUAUGUUGAGAAUUACACCGUAAAGUUCUGAGCACUUAAAAUCUCUUUAUGGUAUCAGAGCAAUUCCUCUCUAACGAGAAUUUGAUCCCCAUGUCUUCCACAAAUCAGUCUAUCUCCUCCCCUGAACUUUCCCUUGUUGUUUUCAACAUCAAUACUCAAAUCAAUGAGAAACUCACACCCUCAUCCUUCCCUCAAUGGCGAGCACAGUUUGAGGCUUUUAAUCGGCUAUGAUCUCCUGGACUACGUCAAUGGAGAAUCUCAGUGCCCUGUCUCAGAUGGCACUCCACAGUCUACAACAACAAAAAACCGAUGGGUAAGGCAAGACAAACUGAUUCUCAGUGCCAUUCUUGCAUCCACUUCACCCUCCAUCACGCCUCUCAUUGCCACCACCAAAACCUCACACGAGGCAUGGAAAAAACUAUCAACACUGUAUGCGAGCAAAUCGCGUACAAGGGCAAUGCAACUCAAGGAAGAACUAACCUUGAUUCAGCGUGGAAAUCGACCAAUUUCAGAGUAUCUUCACACGGUCAAAAGUUUGGCCGAUGAAAUUACACUUAUUGAUCACCCCAUCUCCGAUGAUGACUUAACCCUCUAUGUUCUCCAUGGGUUAGGUCCAGAAUUUCGUGAGAUUGCUGCUCCUAUUCGAGCACGAGAAAAAUCCCUUGCCUUCGAAGAACUUCAUGAUAUGCUUGUUGGGCAUGAGAGUUACCUGAGAAGGAUGGAAGCUGCUACACAGCAGCUCGUGGCUGCUGCAAACUUUACCGGCCACCGCUUUGCCAACAAGGAGACCGUCUCCUCUGUAUCGCAGCAAAACAGAGGAGGAAAUAAAGGAAAUGGUUUCUUUCGCCAACCAGGACACAACCGUCCCUCAAAUGGUUCAUUCAGAGACCGCCAGCGCAACAAUAAUAAUUCGGGCCGCUCCAAUCCAAACCGACGCUUCCAGCCAAAGUGCCAAUAUUGUGAUCAAUUGGGUCAUACAGCCAAGAUCUGCCCGAAACUUCAAUCCUCUCCCAUGACUGUUAAUUGUGCUGAAUCCUCAGAUACUCAAGAUAAUAAAUGGUUAAUUGACUCUGCAGCCUCUCACAACAUUACGGGUGAUCUUCAAAACUUAUCAAUUCACUCUGAAUAUGACGGCACUGAUGAGGUCCUUCUUGGUGACGGUACAGGUUUGGCAGUAACACAUAUUGGUUCCUUAGCUUUACCCACACCUACAAAAACUUUUCAUUUACAUGAUACUUUAUGUGUUCCUCAUAUUCACAAGAAUCUCAUUUCAGUUCAUCACUUCACCAAACAUAAUAAUGUUUUUCUUGAACUUCAUCUCUUUUUUUUCUUGUGAAGGACAAAAUCACGGGGGCAAUACUUCUAAGAGGUGCGUGUGAGAAUGGCGUAUACGUGUUUCCAAACUCCUUGAUGGCUUCUCCCACUCCAAAAAAAGUUGCUUAUGUGCAUGAACGGACUUCACUUGAUGGGUGGCACAAACGUCUUGGACACCCUUCAAUCAAACUUGUUCAACAUCUUGUCAAUCAAUUAUCCCUUCCUGUUUCCACAAAAAAAAAUUCAUCUUUAUGUACUUCUUGUUCCACAAAUAAAGCGCAUAAACAACCUUUUGGCUCUACAAGUUUUCAAAGUCACUCUCCACUUGACAUUAUAUACACUGAUGUUUGGGGUCCUGCUCACAUUACUGGGAUUUGUGGUGCACGGUAUUAUCUUCUUUUUGUGGACCAUUAUACCAAAUAUAUGUGGUUUUAUCCAAUGUCUGCAAAAUCUCAGGUAUCCAGUAUUUUUCCCCAAUUCAAAAAACUGGUGGAAAAACGCUUUCAGUCCACCAUCAAAGCCUUGUACUCCGAUAAUGGUGGUGAAUUUCUAAAGUUGAAAACUUACUUGUCCAAUCAUGGUAUAAGUCAUUACACUACUGCUCCCCACACUCCCCAACAAAAUGGUGUUGUUGAAAGACGUCAUCGUCAUCUUGUCGAAACAGGUCUUACCCUGCUUCAUGAUGCCUCAUUAUCUCUUUCUUAUUGGCCUCAUGCAUUUCAAACUGCUGCUUAUCUCAUAAAUCGCCAACCAACUCCUCUCCUUCAAAAUAAAUCCCCAUUUGAAGUGCUUUUUUGUCAACAACCAAAUUAUCUUAAAUUAAGGAAAUUUGGAUGUUUAUGCUACCCUCUCACUAAACCGUAUAACACCCAUAAAUUGCAGCCUAAGUCCACUCCCUGUAUCUUUAUAGGAUACUCACAAACUCAGAAUGCCUACAAAUGCCUAACCUUAAUAAUCAAUUUACCAUUCAAACAAAACCAUAACUCAAAAUCAUCAUAAUCUUCCAUAAUCAACUUAAUAAUCAAUUACCCACAACAAUCAACCCCUAACCUUCAAUUUAAUUCAUCAAUUUAAACCAAAACACAAAUUCUCAAAACCCUAACAUUCAUCAAAAUUGAAAUUUAAACUUCAAUAACACAUAUAUAUACAUAAUCUUACCUUUUUACUUAUUUCCUCCAAAUCUCUUUAUUUUCCCCUUAUUUUUCCUUCUUUUCUCUUCUUCUUCCUCCCUCUUCUCUCUCACGGUUUUGCUCUCUAAUUUUGCAGGUCUCUUCUUGUUUUUUUUUUAUAUUAUUAUUUAUUCUAUUUAUAUAUAUAUCAACUAUUUAUCCAAUUACUACUAUACCCCUCAUUUAAUUUAUUCCUACAUCUAAGCCUUCAAGGGCUUUCUAGGCUUUUCCUAUCCCUUUAAUACAAAACAUCACAGCCAUGGCCCUGGAAGCUUCUGGACAGAAUUUCAUUUGGGUUGUGAGGAGAGAAAGCAAACAAAGCUUGCAGAAAAGGAGGAGUGGUUGCCAGAAGGAUUUGAGAAAAGGAUGGAAGGGAAGGGCUUAAUAGUAUCGGGAUGGGCACCCCAGGUGCUGAUCCUUGAUCAUAAAGCUGUUGGAGGGUUCAUGACUCACUGUGGUUGGAACUCAACAUUGGAGGGAGUGACUGCAGGGGUGCCGAUGGUCACAUGGCCACUUGGUGCGGAACAAUUUUGCAAUAAAAAGCUGAUUACCGAUGUUCUCAAAAUAGGAAUUGGAGUUGGUGCCCAGGAAUGGUCAAGAUAUAAAAAGAAAAUUACAGUGAGGAAGGAGGACAUAGAGAAGGCAAUUAUUCAGUUGAUGGUUGGUGAAGAAGCUGAGGAAAUAAGAAACAGAGCAAGGGUACUGAAAGAGAUGGCAAGGAGGGCUACGAAAGAAGGAGGAUCAUCUUACUCUGAUUUAACUGCAUUUCUUGAAGAAUUAUAGGCCCUUGAGACAAGCAAGCAAGAACGUGCACCACAUCAACAAGACUGUCUUGUUGCAUCAUUCUGAAAACUAGAAGAGUCAGAAGAAAAAGGAAAAAAAAAGGUAUCCCGUAGAAUGCUAAAUGUUGCUUCUCAGAUAUUUAGUUUUUCAACAAAAUAAAAGAAAGUGCGUUCUACAUGAAUUUUGCAUCCAUACAACAGUCAUACAUAUCCGUGGUUUCAAUGACAUGAUAGCUUUAUUGAUGACUCCAAUGGAUACAAAGUCUAAAAGUCUAAACAAACUACUUGAUUUGAAAUGUGCUAGCUUGUUUUCUGUUCAAAACGAAAACCAUACACUCGAAUACACUUUGAUUCCUUUCUAACAUUAAUUCAUGAAAUCUCUUAAAGGGUUAUGGCUCUAAACCCAGUUGAUCGUAAAUCACAGCUGGACUUGUCUACUUAAGGAGGAAGUCCUAUGGGAAUCUCUGAAAAUGUUAAACAUGAUAAAGCUAGCAGAAGUACUCACCUUAACCAGCUAAUUAAAGAUCCUGGCUGACCACAAGCUGCAACUCGGGAAGUACUCAUCCAAGUAUGAUGAAAACUUGGAUAUAUAAUCUUUACGCAUACAUAAUUAAGAAAACCCGAAGAAUUUUAUUUUAUUUUAUUAGAAAAUAACUCGCAGCACAAGUUUCCAACACCUCAGUCCAUGAAUAACAAGAUUUGCAAGCAAAGAAAAAGGAAUUUUAAUAAAGGAUAGAAGUUCUCCAAAGUAGAUAUCAUCCUCGAUCUAGAAUGCAAGAAGCAAAGAAGAACGGCGUAGGAAUGCCAGAAAUGAUGAAAGGGGGGGAACCUUAUUGAAGGUUUCAACCAUAUAAAGAUCAUGAGCCACUGGACUGGGCCAGCGGUGAGGAUUGGGGUGAACUCGAAUAUGAUCCAAAGUUCAAAUUCUUAAGAGAAAUAACCAUACAAUGGCAGUAGAUUAAGCGGGCAAAAGGAUUUAAUCGAGCAAAAUUUUGAUUGAACAAUAAAAAGGUUAAGGGCAUCAGUGCUAAGUAGGUCUGAACCCAAAUACACAAUUUACCGGCUAGACAUUAGUUUCUUGAAACUGGUGGUUCAAGUUGACUUGAAAUUCAUGCUAAAAAAUAAGGAUCCCACCCCAACUUCGGUACAAACAUAAAAAGCCAAAAUUUUCACCGAACUUCUAUAAGCUGAGAAUUUCAGAAGUGAAAGGUCCAACGUUGGACCUUCAGCAAUUGAAAACGAGAACCCGCAAUCAUAAGAAAAGAUUAUAAUUUUCGUUGUCCGGCCACGAAGUUAGAUACAAAACAGCACACAUUUCCCAACCUAUCUAAGAACCCCUUCGGUCAUGACCGUGACAAUGCAACCUAAGAAAUCUUACAAAUCCAAAUGCACCAACAUGAGCUCAUAUAUAAAAGUUGUCAACCAAGUAAAAAACAUUGGACAUGAAGCCAGACUUGAAACAUAAACAAUGCAGUAUAAGAAGACUAGCCAAAUAGGACAACCCCAAAGAGAAGACAAGAUCAAUAAUAAAAUUUCAGUUUAAAAAAAUAAAAACAGAGAUCAAUAAAAAAAUUCACAGACGAGACCACUCUUGUUUUUCAACUAGAAUGUCAGAAGGAAAUAAAGAAUAAAUUCAUGGAAAAAAAGAGAGAAAGCAUAUUGCGACAUGAUAUACUGUGAUUGUCAGCAAUUGGAUGCCUCAUGGGCACAGAGAAAAUUUAGUCUUUUAAAUUGUUUUUUUAAUAUGAGGGGUCAGCAACUCUAACUCAGUUUUCUUAGAGAAACUGCUAAUUGUGUAAAUAAAAGAAAUCAUUUUUCAUGAAACAAUCAUUUUAUAUAUUUUAUGUUUCACAAAGGUUAGCAGGACACAACAAUAUGCUUGGAAACCAAGUCAUCUUUGUCUAUUUCUCUUCUUAAGGUCCAAUACAUAUCUGAACUCAUAAACAAGAUGAUGAGGGGAAAGCAAGAAUUGGAAUAUGAUAUGGGAAAAUAAUGCCCGAACCUAGUCUCUGCAGCCAUCCCAAAUCAGCAGAUAAAUCAUUGUUCUAUUUCUAGCCUUUUGUUCAUCCCAAAUUUCCAACCAUCAUCGGACCGCUUAAUCCUCUGCUCUAAAUCUAUACCUGUUCUACCAGGCCACACAGAUUCACAGCCAUAUCAGCUUUUCAUGUCCUAUUUCUCCCAUAUAUGGCUCAUGGCCACAUGAUCCCAACCGUUGACAUGACAAAGAUUAGUUACUAGGAAUGGGGUUAAAGCAACCGUUGUUUCCACUCCCCUUAAUGGACCCCUCUUAUCUAAAACAAUAGAAAGAGACAAGAAACUGGAUCUUGAUAUCAGCACUCACAUAAUAAAAUUUCCUUCUGCUGAGGCAGGGCUACCUGAAGGGUGUGAGAACCUAAGUUCUAAUAAUUCGUGGAACAUGAAUUCGGAUCUCUUAAAGGCCUUAAGCAUGCUUCAACACCACUUUAACAGAUCCUUGAAGAAUGCCACCCAAAUUGUCUCGUGGCAAACAUGAUGUUUCUGUGGGCUACAGGAGUUGUUGACAAGGUCGGGAUUCCAAGGUUGAAUUUCAAUGAAACGAGUUUUUUUUGUAUGUUUUUCUUUGAUUCCCAAAAACGAUGUGAUCCCCACAAAAGAGUGGUUUCAGUCUAUCAGAUUUUGAACCUUCUAUAGUGCCUGAAUUACCAGACCAGAUAAAGAAGACAAGACUGCAAAUGCAACUGCCAGAUUACUUAAAACAGACAACUGAGAAUGGACUUACAAGCUAAAUCAGAUUUCAGAAUCAGAAGUGAGAAGCUAUGGAGUCCUCAUGAAUAGUUUCCACGAGCUGGAACCAGCUUACUCAGAACACUGCAGGAAGGCAAGGCACAUCAGCUGCUGUCACUUUGCAACAGGAACAUUGAAGAUAAAGCAGAAAGAGAACAUAUAGCAUCCAUUGGUGAACAUGAAUGUUUGAGAUGACUCGCCUUGAAGAAACCCAACUCAGUUCUAUAUAUUUGUUUUGAAAGCUUGUUUGACUUCCAGCUACUCAAUCGUGUGGGAUUGCCUUAGCUCUUGAAGCUUUUUUUCCAGAAUUUCAUUUGGGUUGUAAGAAAGGGAGAGGUGAGAAAGCAUGAAGACAUGGAGGAGUGGUUGCUGGAAGGAUUUGAGAGAAGGAUGGAUGCGAAAGGAUAAAUGAUAAGGGGAUGGGAACCACAGGUGCUAAUCCUCGACCAUGAAGCUGUUGGAGGAUUCUUGACUCAUUGUUGAUGGAACUCAACGUUAAGAGGGAGUGACUGCAGGGGUGCCAAUGGUCACAUGGCCACUUUAUGCAGAGCAGUUUGAUAAUGAAAAGCUGAUUGCAUAUGUUCUAAGAAUGGGAAUUGGAGUUGGUGCCCAGGAAUGGUCAAGAUAUGAAAAGAAAAUUCUAGUGAGGAGGGCCGACAUACAGAAGGCAAUUAUUCAGCUGAUGGUUGACGAAGAACAAAUAAGAAAUAGAGCAAGGAAGUUGAAAGAGAUGGAAAGGAAGGAAACGGAAGAAGGAGGAUCGUCUUUCUCUGAUUUAACUGCAUUGCUAGAUGAAUUAAUGGCCCUUGAGACAAGCAAGCAAGAAUAUGCAGCACAUUAACAUGACUGUCUUGUUAUAGUUUCCUAUUAGAAUGUUCAGAAAAUAAGUAAUGUUGUUAGCAUUUAUUAUUCUGAAAACUAGAAUAGCCAGCAAAAGAAUAAUGACUACCGUAGAAAUACUAAAUGUUGCUCGUCAUUAUUCAGGUUUUCACAGAAAUAAAAGAAAGGGCAUUUUACAUGAAUUUUGCAUCCAUUCACCAGUCACAGAUAUCCGAUGACUGUGCCUAGAAGAAAAUACAUGGUAGUUAGUAGUAAUUACUUUUUAAGAUUUUUUUAUUUAAAAUAUAUUAAAAUAAUAUAUUAUUUAUUUUUCAAACUUAUUUUUUUUACAUAAGCAAAUGAUAUGAAAAUUAUAAAAAAAUUAUUUAUUUAUUUUUGAAAACACUUUUAAAAUGUAAAAAUCUAAUCUUCAUCUAAAAAAAUAUUUUUUUAAAUAAAAAAUAUUUUUUAAAAAACAUAAUAUACUAUAUGUAAUAUUUUGGUUGGAAAAUACAAUAAAGCCCUUGGAGGCUUAAAGAGAGGGUAAAUGAUUGAAGGGUAUUGUGGUAAUUGACCAAUAGUUGAUAAAUAUAUAUAAGAAAAAAAAAGAAAGAAUGAUCUGAUUUUGAGAGAAAGAGAGUUACGGGAGAAGAGAAGAAAAGAGGAAGAAGAAGAAAAGACAGGAGAGAAGGAAAGAAAGGAGAAAAGAAGUAGAGGAAAUAAGUAAAAAGGUAAGAUUUAUGGUUUUAAGUGUAUAAUAUGUUAAAUUUCGGUUUUGAUUAAUUUUGAGAGUUUUGAAGUUUGUAUUUUGAGUUAAUUGAUGAAUUAAUUUGAAGGUUAGGAGUUGAUUAUUGUGGGUAUUUGAUUAAUUAGUUGAUUUUGAGAGAUUGAAUUGAAAGAUAAUGAUUUUGAGUUAUGAUUUUAUUUAAAUGGUGAAAUUAUGUUAGAAAUCAGGGGAUAACAGUAGGUGAUAUGUUGAAAUUCUGGGUUUGAGGUUGAAGAUGACGAAAAUUCAAUUUGGUCCCUCAAUUUGUGAAAAUUGCAAUUUAGUCCCCGAACUUUGGAAAUUUUACAGAUUGGUCCCUGGGGCAUAAAUUGAGGUUCUGAACAGAACUGAGGAUGAUUUAAGGACAAAAUUCCAGUAUAAUUAAUAUUUUCAGUUUGGUCCUCCAAUUUGACAAAAAAUAUAAUUUGACCCUAAAAAUUUGGUAAAGUUCAAGAAUGGUCCUUGGAGCAUAAUGAUAUAUCCUGGACAGAAUUAAGGAUUAAUUAUGGACAGAAUUUCAGUAUGGUUAUAUAUUUACAGUUCGAUCCUCAAAAUUUGGUAAAAUUACGUUUUGGUCCCUAUUUUGGAAAAUUGUCAUUUUAGUCCCUAAACUUGGGAGAUUAAGCCCAGUUUAUUUUAUGCUUUGGGAUCUUUUGUUUGAUUUGUUUUUUAGUAUAUUUCAUAUAUUUAUUGUAGGUUCUCUUAACGAUUCUUAAUCGGAUUUUCGGGUCUUUCGUCCGACAUUCCUUUUAGUUCUAUAUUUUCCGGGUGAGUGGAAUAAUCUUUAAUGUGCAUAUAAUAUAAAUAAAUAUGUAUAUUGAUUAUACAAUGAGUACAACUAGUAAAUUUCUUGAAUAUUUACGUAUGUUGCUUUAUUUUCCGAGUACUCAUUUAUUUUUGAAUUUGCACUCGCAAUCUGUUAAAGUAAAUUCUAUUUGAUAUGAUAUACAUUUCUUUGAUGAUUAUGUGAAUAUCUGUUAUGCCUUGAUAUGGGACUUGUCAGUACUCCAUGCUAACGGAGAAUAGUUAGCUUGUGUGCACAUAGUAUUCUGUUACCUAGCUGGUGAGAGAGGCAUCAGCCUGUGGUGAUUGAUCAUCCCACAGUGGUCACCGACGGGUGUCAUCUGGUCACCGACGGGUGUCAUCUGGUCACCUUCGGGUGUCAUCUGAUCUCUGACAUGUAAUCCACUACGUUAUGAUAAUAUGUUACGUUAUGAUAAUAUGUUUAGUAAGUAUAUGUAUAUGUAUAUCAAGAUAUUAAUAUCUGAAAUGUAUAUUAAAUGUUAUUCCCUCACUGAGUUGGUUGAACUCACCUCUCAUUUUUAAUAUUAUUUCAGGUUCUUAGUUUCUGGGACUUUGUUGAGUGUUUCCGCUUCUUCAGUUCUGGUCGGUAUGCCUUGCUUGUUCGCGAGGCUUUCCUUUCAGUUUUGAUUUGAUGUCUUAGACGCUCCACUGUUACCUUGGAUUAAUUAAAUUUGGAUUUUGACAAUGUAAUGAGUAUUAUGAAUUAUUAUUUUUGUUUUAAUAACUAUCUUUCGGUUUAUCAGUAUUUGAAUAAUAUAAUAUUUUUGAAUAUUAUAAGCCGCUGCGUAUUUUUGAACAAAUUGUUCUUUUGAUAUGUCCGUUCUGAGGCUUAGCGCAGGUGAGGUGUCCUUUCGACACCUCUCCUACGUUGCCGGUCACGGAUCCGGGAUUCGGGUCGUGACACUAUACUACUAAAUACACUGUAUGAAUAAAUAUCUAUUUUCCAGAUAUAAAAAACCCACUCUAGAAGGAAACAUGAGCCCGGCGCUCUUCCCCAACAUGGCCAGCACAACUUAAUACAUCUCAUAUUAUAUGUGAUUUAUUGAGUGUUUGGUAUACUUUCAACAUGUUUUUAGAAAAAAAUUAAUUUUUCUUCUUUAAAUCAAUCUUUCAAUAUUUUUAAAUGAUUUUAAUAUACUAAAAUAAAAAAUAUAUUUUUAAAAAAAUAAAAUUAAUACAAUUUUUUAGUAAAAAAAAAAAACUUUAAAAAACAACCACUAUCAUAUCCUCAAAAACCCCUUUAAUCUAACUUAUUAUUAAUUGCUAAAUAAGUAAAAGAUCACAACUCUUAUUUUAAUCUCAAAAUAUUGCUUUAUAAGUUUAAUAAUAUCCCGGUCAUCCCUAUAAUUUAUCCUUUUGAUAAUGAAUAAUGUUAAAAAAAAUAAAAAUAAACUCUAAUAUGAACUCUGGUCAUCAAAUAACCAGUUAGAUUUAUAGUGAUUUUUUUAAAAUUUAAUCACCAUGGCAAUUAAAUUUCUAUAAUCUGAAUUAUUAAAUUUAAAACACCACUUGUUGGAUUUUUUUUGGGAUGAAACCAUUUUUUUACAUGUGGUGGAAUAUUUAAUUAAUUUGUUUUUUCAUUUGAGUUACUUUACAGGUCAAGUUGAAUCUCUCCACUUCUCUUCUUAAAUUAAUUUGUAUUUUAUAUUAAUUACAAACAAAUUUAAUUCUCACAAGAUGCAUAAAUUGAUUUGUCUUUUAUUAGCUUGUUUUUAUUAUGAUAUUUAUCACCGAAAAUUAAGCUAAAAAAUACUCGGAUUUUUUUAUCCCGUAAAAUACUUAUCACAAUGACAAUCAAACAAAAUUAAAAUUAGAAUAGUUAAAUCUUCUCAUACUAUUUAAAUUGAAAAAAAAGAAGUUGUUCUUACUCUGUUCUAUAAAAUUUUUUUUUUUUAAAAAACUUUGGUUUGUGCUCAGAGUGUUGUUAUGCCCGAUCCCAUUUAUAUUUGGGUGCUAGGGAAUGCGAGCAUUUAUUAUUGGGUCCGUGUCAAGGUUAUUAAAAUCGUGAUUCAACUCGUAAAAUUAUAUGUUUUUACAAGUUAAUAUAGGCUUUACAUUUUAAAUCGCUCAUAAAAAUCAAAAAUCAGUAAAAUCAGGUUAAAAUCAAGUAAAAUCGUAAAAAUCGAGUGAAAUCGCGAUUUCACCACGAUUGAACGAUUUUACCCGCAGGGAAUAAACAUUCAGUGUUGCUGCCAGGUGUCGCCUUCCUACUGGCUUAACAUAUCAAAUGCAAUUAACUUAAUUCACCGAAUCAGUCUUCUCUCUUCUCAUUCACAAGUCACGUUCUCACAAUCUCACUUCUCAGAACAUCACAGAUUCAAAAUCUCUAAAUUGAAAAUCCCAAAUUUCACAGUGACUCAGUCUCGGUCUUAUGGGCAGAGUUUGAUAAAAAUUUGUCUUGGGCAUGUGGCUUUCACUUCUCAGACUCAGUCUCACUUGGAAUUGGAACUCUCAGUCUUAGAGGCCACCUCAUCUUCUUAUCGGCUACUGUAGGCGGCGUAGGUGUCUUUUGUAAUUGAAUUCAAGUCGAUGCUUUCAACUCUUCUCCACUGGUUCGCGGCGUUCGCCUACUCGUAUGUGCCGUCUAGGGGCUCAUCAGAAGCAAGAACUUCUACCUUGUCAACUAGCUCAAGAUUUGAAGGUAAUUCGUAGUUCGCUAACAUUCACUCACCUGGAAUACUUCCACCUAUCGGCUCAGAAUUCCAUUACGCCCAGUUAACUCACUGCUUUCGCGGAUUCGCUAAGCAACUGAAAGAAAAAAAAAUAAAUGCUCAAAGGUGGCUUGGUAACAUGCUGGCUAAGGUUGGUCUCCCUAAAGCCGAGCGUAGGGUGGCUACUCUACUCCAGUAUUUUCCCUUUCUUUGCGGGCAGGGGUGCUAAUUGGGUCUGUGACGUCUGUCAUCUGUGAAUGAAUGGGUUUGCAGUUUGCUAAUUGUUUAUGAACGGGUCUGUAAAUGGUUUGAGUCUGCAUUUGUUUUGAUAAAAACUGCCACUCAUUUAUUACCGAUUUUGUGGUUGAACUUUGGAUUAAACAAUUUAAUAUUUAUUUUUAAGGCAGCGACUAGCGAGUCAUUUCCAUGUCUUCCCGAAUUGAAGAAGAAUAUAACUGGGUUCUGAUUUUGAAAACAAAGUCUGUGACUGUGAAUGGAUCUGUGAAUUCAAUAUUAGUUGAAUGCAGUAUUAGCUUCUUUUUUUUUUUUUAAUAGCUGGAUGUUUAAUAUUAAAAUUAAUUAUAAUCAUAAAAUAUUUGGAUUGAUUGCAGGGUUGAUUGUGUUUCCGAAUUGAAGUAUGAAUUUUUUUUUAAUAUAUUUUAAAAUUUUUUAUGAUUUUACGAUCUGUUUUUACAAUCCGAGUUUGUAGAUAACUUUCCGUGCCGUAUUAAAAUCACGAUUUUAACAAUCUUGAUCUGCGCAUUAAAUCCGGAUCCAGUUAACUGGGGUGCUGGGCUAACUAAUCCAGCGCUCCAGAUUAAAUUUUUUUGGGUAUGGGUGCAGUUUUAUCUUUCAUGCAUUAUAGCAUCCUUAUUUACUUGAACAUGUACCACAAGUCCAACUUGCCCAACCUAAUAUUUAUUUGGAAUUUUUUUUUGGAUCCCAUGUAGGUUUUUUAUUAUUUUUUUAUUAAUUUAAUAUGUAUUAUUUUAAAUAAAAUAUAAUUUAAAAUAUCAAAAAAAUCAAAUUAUAUUUCUGUCUUUCAUCUCCACAUAAAAUAAGAUUUAUAGGUUAUAAAUACUCCACGGCAUUUCAAGUUCCAAGUUUAUAAUCUCAACAUUCUUAUCACUUUCAAAAUAUAUAUUUUCAGAAUUGACUCAUCGUGGAUGGAACUCGACUCUUGAAGGCAUAACUGCAGGGAAGCCCAUGAUUACAUGGCCUGUAUUUGCUGAGCAAUUCUAUAAUGAAAAGUUGGUGACUGAUGUUUUGAAAACUGGAGUUGGUGUUGGAGUCAAGGAAUGGUUAGAGUGCGUGGAGAUCAUGUUAAGAGUGAAGCUGUAGAGAAGGCAAUCACUCGAAUCAUGGUGGGUGAAGAAGCAGAGGAAAAGAGGAGCAGAGCAAAUAAGCUAGGAGAAAUGGCAAGGAAGGCUGUUGAAGAAGGUGGUUCUUCGUGGUCUGAUUUCAAUGCUUUGAUUGAAGAGUUGAGGUCGUAUCGCCCUUGAAACUUCGACAGGAUUUCGAAAGGAUUGUCACGAACGUCGGACAACGUAUAAUAUACUAAAUUAUGUAUUGAAUUUUUUUGGGUUUUUUUUAAUAUAAAAAUAGCUAGUAAUAUACUAAAUUAUGUGAGCUAAAAACCGUGGACAAAAACUAAUCUAUAAAAAUCAAGAUUCAAGCUUUAACCACGCAAUUAAUUGUUUUUGAUCAAACGAGCAAAACCCAGAAUGUGUUUUCAAUUGAACAAUCCUUAUGUCCAUGAAAUACAACACAUGCCUUUGACUAGAUAUGGGUUAGUUCACAGUUCUUGCACUCACACACACUCUUUUAUGCUUCAAAAUUCACAAGUCUAACAGUGAUAUGAGAACUUCAUAUCCGUGCUCUCUCUUUCUCUUUCUAUUUCACUCUUUACUGAUCUCAACAAAGAAAAAGACAUCAGAUUCAUUGGCUAAACUGAGUGAAAUUAAGGCUUAUCCACAAUUCUACCAAAAGAGCCUAUCCCUACAAGAAUUCCUAACCCAUUUUAGCUCCUAAUACGGAGAAAAAAAUGUUUCUUAUUCGUAACACCUUCUACUUACAAUGAACUAGGAUCAACUCAUAACAUAAACUCAAAGAACCUCAUCAUUCUUUGAAAUCUGACGACUUUAUCUAAUUACCUACGAAGUAAUCUAAAAUUUCUCGUUAAUAAUACAAGAACCACCAAAUCAUUUGUUUGCCUCACAGGGACACAUCUGCGGUUUCUCAAGCACCGUACUUGGUUAAACUUUCCUUGUCAUCAUAGUGUUAGAGAAUAAUAUAACUCAUUUCUCGGGAUCUCACCUAAUAGUUUAAGCUAUUGUGUUGAGAUGGUUUUUUGACAUGGUAUCAGAACCUUGAUGACCAAGUGGUUACGAGUUCGAAUCUCACCAUUCCUAUUUAUUUGAUAAAAAUUAAGCACAAAGUAAUGUGGUUAUGUUCAAGUUUCAAGCCCAAAAGACUUUCAUUUGAGGGGAUGUAUUAGAGAAUAAUAUAAAUCAUUUUUUAGAACCUCACCUAAUAGCUUAAGCUAUUAGGUCGAGAUGGUUUUUUGACACAUAACAGGACCGAGUUGAAGUCAUAGGCUUAUGCUAAUCCGAGUGGACUGAGAUUUGGUAAGCCCGAGAUAGGCCCAAAAGGACUGCAUUUGGAUUUGUGCAGCUUGUAUAUGAACCUUUACAUUAUUCAGACAAACCUUUCAUACAUUCUUAGUUUCUUCCUGGAAAUUCAACUGCCUGUCUCGAAAGAGCACUAUAACCGACCAAAUUUCUCUUGGUUCCAAUAUGAGGAUGACUCGAUGAUGGAACCUUACAACGAAUGGAGUUGAACGAAGCAGGGUUUGAGCAAUACCUACGGUGCAAGGAGAAAGCCGCACACUCCCGCGCUGAUCUCUGACCAGGAAGAUCAGGAAUACAAUUUUUUCUAAUAUCAAGAACGCCACUCCUCUCUAGUUUCGUACACUUUGGCCCUAGUUUUGUAAAAUAAUUACUUGAAAGUGACAAAUUCACCAAUUUCCCCAAUGCGCACACCACCUCUGGCACCUGUCCAUACAAUAAGUUGCUGGCCAAAUUGAACUGUUCAAGCUUAGCCAAGCAUCCCAACGAGCAUGGUAAAGGACCGGUUAAGAAGUUGUUACUAGCAUCAAAAAGGACUAGUUUUCUCAAAAAACCUAGUUCAUAUGGGAGGCAACCUGUAAGUAAGUUGUGCGAGAACAGCACUUCAGUUAAUGUCGCGGAAGCUUUAAGGAUGCUGCGUGGGAUUGGACCGAUAAAUUUGUUGUAAGCCAAGGUGAGGUAAAGCACUGGGGUCGAGCCUAGGUUUUCAGGUAGUCCUUGCAUAAAAUUGUUGUUGUUGAGGAAGAGUGCGUCAAGGCGUUGAGUGAAUACUCGUGGAGGAACUGUCCCAGUAAAGAAAUUGAAUCGGAUAUCUAAAAAUGAUAGGGCAGGGAUUCCAAGAACCUCCAUGGGAAAACUGCCAAAGAAAUUAUUGUUGCUUAUGUCUAGUUCAUAAAGAAAUGGUAGUUUGGUGAUUUUUGGUGAUAUGGUGCCAGAAAAUUUGUUAGAGUUGGCAUGGAAGAGAGCAAGGUCAGGGAGUUGAUCAAUGAAGCCAUCGAGAGUAGGGGCAGACAGCUGGAAUCCAUUGAAAUCAAUGGAAGCAAGGGUAAUGGCAGAGUCAUUAUCAGGUGGACUAGUACAGUAGAAGCCUUUGUAGUUGCAUAUAUCCGCGCCACCCCAAGUUUGAGUGAUGUUGAGGGGAUCAGAGGUGAUAGUGUUCUUGAAGCCUUGGAUUAUUGGAUACACUAAGGCAAGCCUUUGGUCUAAGAAGUUCAAGAUUUCUGGAAUUAAUGGAGGUGAUAUCAAUGGAGACAGGCCUUGAAAGUCUUGGCAACAAGCCAGGCAAGUGAAACAUGGAAGGAAGAGGAUUGAGAUGUGGAAUAUGCUUCUGUUGUUUGAAGAAAUGCUUCCCAUUUGAUACAUGAGGUAGCCAGAAGAGAGUUUUGAAGAAGAUGACGGGGAUUAAGAGUGCUUUCCAGUGUUAAUUUAUACUUAAUAGUUAGUGUGGUUGGUGAGUCUCAUUAUCAAAUUGGAAGGCUUGUUAAUGCUUGUUCUUCCACUUGUCUUUCGGUGGAUUGAAUCCGAGGCAUGUGUUAUGACUAAUCAUUCUCCUCCGAGGUCAAUCUGUAGAUGAUUUUGGAUUUGUUUUAGGAGCAGAACUCGGGCGAGCUCUUCAAUUUUGUGCGCGUUGGGUUGCAGUUCAUUACUCGAAGAAAAUCGUCGUGUCAUUUAAGUUUAGUGAGGCUCUCUUCAACUGCAGGUUGAUAGCCAGAAUCCCAUCACUCUGGUUCCUGGUUUCCAUCCACUGAGGGUUCUGCAGUAAGAGUAUGGAUGGCAUUUUUCCAAAAGCAAUGAUCAGCCCAUUAAGGGGAAAUUAGUGCGCCAUUAACAAGAAGUGGGAUGCUGGCCUUUGAUACCAUGGGUGUCAUCGGGAAAAGCUGGCUGGGAAAUGAAUACCAUGGUUGAGAAAUUAGUGCGCCAUUAAGAAAUGAAUACCAUGUUGUACCGUGUUCCUUUAAUUUUAAUUUUAUUUAAAAUAGGUUUUUUAUAUAUAUAAUUUCAUAUAAUUUUAAUAUGUUAAUGUUAAAAAUAAUCAAUAAAAUUAUUUAAAUACAACCAAAAUCUCUUAUUAGUCUUGUCUAACAAAGUAUUUUUCGUGGUAUGAACUAUGAACAUGUUGAGUCAAUUUAUUUAUUUUUUUGAUUUGUUUUGAUAGAUAGGCCGGAGUGAUAUUUUUUUAAUGGCUAGUUUUCUUAAAGUAUCCUAAGCACUAAGCAUUAAGAAAAAAAAAAAAAAGAGGCAAGCAUGGUUUUGUUUUUACUCUUCAAAAAUAUAUUUUUUUAAAAAAAAAUGUAAUUUUUUUAUUUACUUUAAAUUAAUUUUUUUUUAAUAUUUUCAGAUUAUUUUAAUGCGUUGACAUAAAAAAUAAUUUUAAAAUAUUAAAAAAAUUAUUUUUAAUAAAAAUAUAUUUUAAAAAAUAACUUAUUAUCGAAUACUAGUUUGUUUAUUUUUCAUGGGCUUCACACUGACCUUCCCAUAAAAAAAAUCCCCCGUACGGAAAUCCCAGUUUAUACUUCUUAACUCGUCGCAACCAGCAGACCAACCCAGUUAAGCUAUAUAGUUGCAUUAAGCUAUAUAGUUGCAUUUGCUUUGAAAUCGAGAAGAAAACAGGAAUGAGUUCACCUUAUUGAAAACAGGAAGUAAAGGGGACAAAAUAUCAUUAAGCUAUAUAGUUGCAUUUGCUUUGAAAGCAGAAAUGAGUUCACCUUAUUCAUUAUGAUUCAUACGACAAGCUAUAAGCUGAUCAGGAGAAAUAUGUGUACAUAGAUAGGAGCAGCCAUCAAGCAAAUCAAGAGACUAUCUUGAAGGGAUCCAUUUAAAGCCGCAGCUUAUGCGGUUUAAGGGCAUUAUAUGUUAUAGGUGCAGCAGCCGGAGCCUUAGAUUGUUGAUCAGAUGUCUCCAAUGAACUUGAAUAACCACCCUUCCUGCAAGGAAUAUAGCUGAGCGACCUCUUAUUGGGACAAGUACUCUUUUUAGAAAAGAACUUGCACAAUCAGCUGCUGAUCUCUGACGAGGAAGAUCCAAAAUGCAAUUCAUUCUAACAUCAAGAAUCCUUUUCUUUAUCAAUUUCCUGCAUCAGGUCCGACCUGAGUGAAAUAGUUGUACGAGAGAGACAGGUUUGCUAAUCCAGGCAGGUCGCACACCAUCUCCGGCACCGGCCCGUAAAAUUUAUUCACGGCCAAAUUCAGGAUCUCCAUCUUUUUUAGGCAUGCAAAUGAAUGGGGUAUUGGGCCAGUCAACUUGUUGCUGCCCACAUCAAACACGACAGCCUUGUCCAAUUUGCCAAUCUCGUAUGGCAAGCACCCUUCGAGUUCAUUGUUCAAGAAAAGCACUUCAAGAAGGUUUCGGGCAUUGCCGAUACUUUUUGGAAUGGGACCACUAAAAUUGUUGUUGGCCAAAGUGAGAUAAAGGACAGGUGUGGAACCGAGAUUACAAGGAAGCUGUUGUGAGAAUUUGUUGUUGUUGAUUGAAAAGCACAUCUAGGUCUAAGUUGAAGACUUCAGCUGGAACUGACCCUGAAAAUGAGUUGAACCUGAUGUCUAAAAAGGUUAAGUUGGUGGCUUGAAGAACAGACACAGGGAAUUCACCAGAGUACUUGUUGUUGCUGAGAUCGAGCUCAAAUAAGUAACGGACUCUGGAAGUG